This 253-nucleotide ribosomal RNA is filed under the name uncultured bacterium. RNAcentral's name for it is "partial 16S ribosomal RNA". It matches the Rfam family "Bacterial small subunit ribosomal RNA", at positions 524 to 776 of the family's 1533-position model. The record is from RNAcentral.
GACGGAGGAUGCAAGCGUUAUCCGGAAUUAUUGGGCGUAAAGCGUCCGCAGGUGGCUGUUCAAGUCUGCUGUCAAAGCGCAGAGCUUAACUCUGUACAGGCGGUGGAAACUGAAGAGCUAGAGUAUGGUAGGGGUAGAGGGAAUUCCCGGUGUAGCGGUGAAAUGCGUAGAUAUCGGGAAGAACACCAGUGGCGAAAGCGCUCUACUGGGCCAUAACUGACACUGAGGGACGAAAGCUAAGGGAGCGAAAGGG